CCUACGGGAGGCAGCAGUGAGGAAUAUUGGUCAAUGGGCGCGAGCCUGAACCAGCCAAGCAGCGUGAAGGAUGACUGCCCUACGGGUUGUAAACUUCUUUUAUAAAGGAAUAAAGUGAGGCACGUGUGCCUUUUUGUAUGUACUUUAUGAAUAAGGAUCGGCUAACUCCGUGCCAGCAGCCGCGGUAAUACGGAGGAUCCGAGCGUUAUCCGGAUUUAUUGGGUUUAAAGGGAGCGUAGAUGGGUUGUUAAGUCAGUGGUGAAAGUUUGCGGCUCAACCGUAAAAUUGCAAUUGAUACUGGCAGCCUUGAGUACAGUUGAGGUAGGCGGAAUUCGUGGUGUAGCGGUGAAAUGCUUAGAGAUCACGAAGAACUCCGAUUGCGAAGGCAGCUUACUAAACUGUGACUGACAUUGAGGCUCGAAAGUGUGGGUAUCAAACAGGAUUAGAUACCCGGGUAGUC
RNAcentral lists this ribosomal RNA (460 nucleotides) under uncultured bacterium. RNAcentral describes it as "partial 16S ribosomal RNA". It matches the Rfam family "Bacterial small subunit ribosomal RNA", at positions 338 to 795 of the family's 1533-position model. The record is from RNAcentral.